Long non-coding RNA from Ornithorhynchus anatinus (platypus), 611 nucleotides. RefSeq lists it as uncharacterized. Lineage: Eukaryota; Metazoa; Chordata; Mammalia; Monotremata; Ornithorhynchidae. The transcript has 3 exons. The record is from RefSeq and is a predicted model, not a curated record.
GCGUUGCUUCAACCCUGGGGAGCAGCCUAUGCUUCGAGACUUUGCCGUUGGCCACCUUGUGCUAUCGUCGGAUGUUGGACAGGAAUGCAGCGCAUCGAGAGGGAGGGGGAUGAAGAUAAUUUGAGAAAUUAUCCCCAAUAUGGUAUGGGACUGUCGUCCACAAGAACCGACCGACCGGCAGCCAGGCCUGUGGAGCAGACCUGAGAGGACAAGAGUGACUCCAUUUUAAUGAUUCCAGGACUUCCUUCCGUUUUAUGCUCCCCUCCAGUUUGUCUUAUGAUCCCCUCCAGUUUGUGAAAUUGUCGACUCCCGGACAAGAAAGAGAACCACAACAUUCUUUUGACUCCCACGUGGAGACUCCGUGAUCGCUUCACGUCGUUAACUCCUGACUGCAGCUCUUAAUUGUCGACUGCACAUCUGUUUAUCUCCAGAAAAUAGGAACUGAACCCAAGAACUGAUGGCCAACUCUCCCAUUCCUCCCUUCCUCCUUAAUUGGCUGCAUGCUUAAAUAAAAGUAAUGUUCUGAGGGAUGCUGGGGACUGCACGCCACCCGUAUCCCACUGGGAUGAACGGACGUGUAGCCACUUUCCUCCUUUGCUGCGCUAUCCCGA